AGGAUAAACGCUGGCGGCGUGCCUAACACAUGCAAGUCGAACGUCUCUUCUUUCGGGAAGAGGAGUGGCGGACGGGUGAGGAACACGUGGGAACCUGCCCUUUAGUGAGGAAUACCGGCGAGAAAUCGCCGACAAGACCGCAUAGCCCUCUUUGAUGAGAGUCAAAGAAGGAAAGCUUCGCAAGAGGCGCUAGAGGAGGGGCCUGCGUCCGAUUAGCUAGUUGGUGGGGUAAGAGCCUACCAAGGCGUCGAUCGGUAGCUGGUCUGAGAGGACGAUCAGCCACACUGGGAUUGAGAACGGCCCAGACUCCUACGGGGGGCAGCAGUGAGGAAUUUUCGGCAAUGGGGGAAACCCUGACCGAGCAACGCCGCGUGCAGGAAGACGGCCUUCGGUUGUAAACUGCUUUCUCGGGAAGAGAAUGGACGGUACCCGAGGAAUCAGCCCGGCUAACUACGUGCCAGCAGCCGC
This 468-nucleotide ribosomal RNA is filed under the name uncultured bacterium. Its description in RNAcentral is "SSU rRNA". It matches the Rfam family "Bacterial small subunit ribosomal RNA", at positions 26 to 518 of the family's 1533-position model. The record is from RNAcentral.